AGUGAACGCUGGCGGUAGGCCUAACACAUGCAAGUCGAACGGCAGCACAGUAAGAGCUUGCUCUUACGGGUGGCGAGUGGCGGACGGGUGAGGAAUACAUCGGAAUCUACUUUUUCGUGGGGGAUAACGUAGGGAAACUUACGCUAAUACCGCAUACGACCUACGGGUGAAAGCAGGGGAUCUUCGGACCUUGCGCGAUUGAAUGAGCCGAUGUCGGAUUAGCUAGUUGGCGGGGUAAAGGCCCACCAAGGCGACGAUCCGUAGCUGGUCUGAGAGGAUGAUCAGCCACCCUGGAACUGAGACCCGGUCCAGACUCCUACGGGAGGCAGCAGUGGGGAAUAUUGGACAAUGGGCGCAAGCCUGAGCCAGCCAUACCGCGUGGGUGAAGAAGUCCUUCGGGUUGUAAAGCCCUUUUGUUGGGAAAGAAAAGCAGCAGGUUAAUACCCCGCUGUUCUGACGGUACCCAAAGAAUAAGCACCGGCUACCUUCGU
RNAcentral lists this ribosomal RNA (491 nucleotides) under uncultured bacterium. Its description in RNAcentral is "partial 16S ribosomal RNA". It matches the Rfam family "Bacterial small subunit ribosomal RNA", at positions 29 to 506 of the family's 1533-position model. The record is from RNAcentral.